This 395-nucleotide ribosomal RNA is filed under the name uncultured bacterium. RNAcentral's name for it is "partial 16S ribosomal RNA". It matches the Rfam family "Bacterial small subunit ribosomal RNA", at positions 523 to 918 of the family's 1533-position model. The record is from RNAcentral.
AUACGUAGGGUGCAAGCGUUAAUCGGAAUUACUGGGCGUAAAGCGUGCGCAGGCGGUUUUGUAAGACAGAGGUGAAAUCCCCGGGCUCAACCUGGGAACUGCCUUUGUGACUGCAAGGCUAGAGUACGGCAGAGGGGGAUGGAAUUCCGCGUGUAGCAGUGAAAUGCGUAGAUAUGCGGAGGAACACCGAUGGCGAAGGCAAUCCCCUGGGCCUGUACUGACGCUCAUGCACGAAAGCGUGGGGAGCAAACAGGAUUAGAUACCCUGGUAGUCCACGCCCUAAACGAUGUCAACUGGUUGUUGGGUCUUCAUUGACUCAGUAACGAAGCUAACGCGUGAAGUUGACCGCCUGGGGAGUGCGGCCGCAAGGUUGAAACUCAAAUGAAUUGACGGGG